RNAcentral lists this ribosomal RNA (416 nucleotides) under uncultured eubacterium TRB41. RNAcentral's name for it is "bacterial SSU rRNA". It matches the Rfam family "Bacterial small subunit ribosomal RNA", at positions 29 to 491 of the family's 1533-position model. The record is from RNAcentral.
AACGAACGCUGGCGGCAGGCUUAACACAUGCAAGUCGAGCGCCCCGCAAGGGGAGCGGCAGACGGGUGAGUAACGCGUGGGAACGUACCUUUUGCUACGGAAUAACUCAGGGAAACUUGUGCUAAUACCGUAUGUGCCCUUCGGGGGAAAGAUUUAUCGGCAAAGGAUCGGCCCGCGUUGGAUUAGCUAGUUGGUGAGGUAAAGGCUCACCAAGGCGACGAUCCAUAGCUGGUCUGAGAGGAUGAUCAGCCACACUGGGACUGAGACACGGCCCAGACUCCUACGGGAGGCAGCAGUGGGGAAUAUUGGACAAUGGGCGCAAGCCUGAUCCAGCCAUGCCGCGUGAGUGAUGAAGGCCCUAGGGUUGUAAAGCUCUUUCACCGGUGAAGAUAAUGACGGUAACCCGGAGAAGAAGC